CUUUCAUGUUAAUUUUGGGCCUGACAAGUUACUUAGCUUUCUUAUUCGUUUUAAUAACAUAUUGUUAAUUUACUUUGCUUUUUCAGGUAGAGACACUUUUGACUUGAUCUCUGCAGUCCUCAACAUGAGUGUGCUGAGAAAGUUUCCAUUAGGUGGACGUGUCUCUCCGUGGAAUAAAGCCCAAGGCGCAGCUGGCCUCUCAACUCAGGAAGUUUCUUUUAGAAUGUAAUAAAUGCUUAAAGAAGAAUUAUACUGUGAAUAGAACAGCAUGCAGCCUGGCACUUAGCAAGUGAUCGAGAAAUAAUUCAUGAGUGAAUGAAUGAACAGAUCACAGAUGUAACCAAAAAUCAAAACUAAAAUCACUUCUGAAGUCGUGGAUGCACUUCUCAGUAAGUAACUUUGGUUAUGAUAUCUCUGGUCCUUAAGGAAGAAUUCUGGCUGGGCACAGUGGCGCAUGCCUGUAAUCCCAGCACUUUGGGAGGCCAAGGAGAGUGGACCACUUGAGACCAGGUGUUUGAGACCAGCCUGGCCAACAUGGUGAAACCCCAUCUCUAAUAAAAAUAUAAAAAUUAGCCAGAUGUGGUGGUGGGUGCCUCUAAUCCCAGUUGCUUGGGAGGCUGAGGCAGGAGAAUCGCUUGAAUCCAGGAGGUAGAGGUUGCAGUGAGCCGAGAUCAUGGGCACUCCAGCCCAGGUGACAGAGUGAGACCUGUUUCAAAAUAAUAAUAAUAAUAAUAAUAAUUUCUGAG
RNAcentral lists this long non-coding RNA (746 nucleotides) under Pan troglodytes (chimpanzee). Its description in RNAcentral is "lncRNA (ENSPTRG00000053179.1)". The record is from RNAcentral. Lineage: Eukaryota; Metazoa; Chordata; Mammalia; Primates; Hominidae.